GGUUAAGUUAUUAAGGGCUUAC
Molecule: ribosomal RNA, 22 nt
Filed under: uncultured Eubacteriales bacterium
Lineage: Bacteria; Bacillati; Bacillota; Clostridia; Eubacteriales
Description: uncultured Clostridiales bacterium partial 23S ribosomal RNA
Source: RNAcentral